AACGUCAAACUAAGAAAGGAGAUUAACGUUUUUUUGUUUACAUGUGUGAUUUAACAAACAUUUAAACAACAAAUACGGCAUCAUUAGACUUUCAGGAAGACGAAAGUGUCAGUGUUGGUUGAUUAGAUGCGAGUUAGUGUGACGAUAUUGGCCGCCAAAAGUAACUAUAGUAAAUGAGCAUAUUUGAGCUAGAAGCAAAGUAUAUGGAAUUAGCCUAUUAAAACGUACUGAAACGUCGUAUGAAUGAAGGUUGGAAUCCAGUUGGAAUCACUCUGAUGGUGCUGUGACUCGGGUCCUUGAGGCUUGUGAAGCGGGCCCCCCCCAACCCCUGAAAGCAAGAAGAUACGCUAAGACGCUGUUUAGCUGGCUGAUACAGGACCUUCCCUCCAACUCCGAUGAAGAUAAUAAUCCAAGACAAUUCCAGGAAUGAAAAAUAACAAGGAAUGGACUGGCUCUCCCAUAGAGAUAAAGUGAGAAGCACUGUCAUCCCGGAGAAACUUGGAGUAGAACCCAUGCUCCUCUGCACUGAGAGGAGCCAAAUGAGGUGGCUCGGACAUCUGGUCAGGGUACCUUCCAGUUGCCUCCUGGGGAGGUGCAUUCAGGGCACGUCCAACCGGUAGGAGGCCUUAGGGAAGACAGAGGACAUGUUGGAGAGACUUUGUCUCUCAAUUGGCAGAGGAACGCCUCGGGAUCUGUCGGGAGGACCUGGACGAAGUAGCCAAGGAGAGGGAAAUCUGAGCUUUCCUGUUUAGGCUGCUGCCCUCACAACCUAACCUUGGCUAAGCGGAAAAAGAUGGAUGGAUGGUCACUUCUUACUUAAUCCAGUCCUCAAACAUUUUAAUACUUGACUUAGGUCCCCUUUACACACA
Dunckerocampus dactyliophorus (ringed pipefish) is the source of this 869-nucleotide long non-coding RNA. RefSeq lists it as uncharacterized. The transcript is spliced from 4 exons. Lineage: Eukaryota; Metazoa; Chordata; Actinopteri; Syngnathiformes; Syngnathidae. The record is from RefSeq and is a predicted model, not a curated record.